This is a regulatory RNA element of Buttiauxella agrestis ATCC 33320, 127 nucleotides long. It matches the Rfam family "Phenylalanine leader peptide". NCBI's taxonomy places the organism in Bacteria, Pseudomonadati, Pseudomonadota, Gammaproteobacteria, Enterobacterales, Enterobacteriaceae. The record is from Rfam.
CAUGAAAUUAUUUCCGUUUUUCUUCGCAUUCUUUUUUACCUUCCCCUGAAUGGGAGGCAAUUCGUCGUGUGAUAAAGAAUGCGAAGACGAACAAACAGGCCUCCCCCAGCGGGGAGGCCUUUUUUAU